AGGUCCGCCUGCCAGUGACUUUGUUCACGGCCUCGGUACUCUGACCGAGCGAAGGUAGCAUAAUAACUUGUUCUUUAAAUAGGGACUUGUAUCAACGGCAUCACGAGGGUUAUUCUGUCUCUUUUCUCUAAUCAGUGAACCUGACCUCUUCGUGAAGAGGCGAAGAUAAGACUAUAAGACGAGAAGACCCCAUGGAGCUUAAAACAUAGAGGCACUUUCUUCAUCCCACAACCCUUAAAAAUAAGAAGCUUGCAUGCUAGUUUUUGGCUGGGGUGCCCAAGGAGAAUAGCCCAACCUCCCUGACGAAUAUUAUUUAAGAGCAACAACUCGAAAAAACAAAAAAUUGACGUAGAAUGACCCGACUAAUAGUCGAUCAACGAACCAAGUUACCCUGGGGAUAACAGCGCAAUCCACUUUAAGAGCCCCUAUCGACAAGUGGGUUUACGACCUCGAUGUUGGAUCAGGGUAUCCUAGUGGUGCAGCAGCUACUAAAGGUUUGUUUGUUCAACAAUUAAAACCCUACGUGAUCUGAGUUCAGACCGG
This 543-nucleotide ribosomal RNA is filed under the name Phrynobatrachus pintoi. RNAcentral's name for it is "partial 16S ribosomal RNA". It matches the Rfam family "Bacterial large subunit ribosomal RNA", at positions 1898 to 2619 of the family's 2925-position model. The record is from RNAcentral. Lineage: Eukaryota; Metazoa; Chordata; Amphibia; Anura; Phrynobatrachidae.